This 239-nucleotide long non-coding RNA is filed under the name Vigna radiata. Its description in RNAcentral is "long non-coding RNA (VRAD_LNC000677)". The record is from RNAcentral. Lineage: Eukaryota; Viridiplantae; Streptophyta; Magnoliopsida; Fabales; Fabaceae.
GAAAACUCACAGCCCGGGUAACCAGGAGCGCAGCUGAAGCGAGAAAAAUCGACGUCCGCCGCCCGGGUGGUGGACCUCGACUCUCGGGCGGCGCUGCUUCGUAGCUUGGGCGUCCAAAUCUGACGCCCAAGCCCAACAUGACUCUCAAUUCAUGCCUGGGCGACCUCCCUACGACGCUUGAGUGUGAUUUCACGUGGAUCAGGCCCUGUUUAUGCUCUGUUUUGAUUCUUUUGGACCGG